Molecule: ribosomal RNA, 511 nt
Filed under: uncultured Limnohabitans sp.
Lineage: Bacteria; Pseudomonadati; Pseudomonadota; Betaproteobacteria; Burkholderiales; Comamonadaceae
Description: bacterial SSU rRNA
Rfam family: Bacterial small subunit ribosomal RNA
Source: RNAcentral
UCGAGAGUUUGAUCCUGGCUCAGAUUGAACGCUGGCGGAAUGCUUUACACAUGCAAGUCGAACGGUAGAGGGGGCAACCCCUUGAGAGUGGCGAACGGGUGAGUAAUAUAUCGGAACGUGCCCAGUCGUGGGGGAUAACGUAGUGAAAAUUACGCUAAUACCGCAUACGAUCUAAGGAUGAAAGCGGGGGAUCGCAAGACCUCGCGCGAUUGGAGCGGCCGAUGUCCGAUUAGCUAGUUGGCGGGGUAAAGGCCCACCAAGGCGACGAUCAGUAUCUGGUUUGAGAGGACGAUCAGACACACUGGAACUGAGACACGGUCCAGACUCCUACGGGAGCAGUAGUGGGGAAUUUCCGCAAUGGGCGAAAGCCUGACGGAGCAAUACCGCGUGAGGGACGACUGCCUAUGGGUUUGUAAACCUCUUUUUUCAGGUAGGAAUCAAUGACGUGUACCUGAAGAUAAGCAUCGGCUAACUCCGUGCCAGCAGCCGCGGUAAUCUGAUGGCGCGAGGG